AGUCGAACGAUACCAUUUAGCUUGCUAAAUGGGAAAGUGGCGCACGGGUGCGUAACGCGUAUGCAACCUACCUCAAUCAGGGGGAUAGCCCGAAGAAAUUCGGAUUAACACCGCAUAAAAUCACAGGAUAGCAUUAUCCAAUGAUCAAAUAUUUAUAGGAUUGAGAUGGGCAUGCGUGUCAUUAGUUAGUUGGCGAGGUAACGGCUCACCAAGACCACGAUGACUAGGGGAUCUGAGAGGAUGACCCCCCACACUGGUACUGAGACACGGACCAGACUCCUACGGGAGGCAGCAGUAAGGAAUAUUGGUCAAUGGAGGCAACUCUGAACCAGCCAUGCCGCGUGCAGGAAGACAGCCCUCUGGGUCGUAAACUGCUUUUAUUCGGGAAUAAACCUACUUACGUGUAAGUAGCUGAAUGUACCGAAGGAAUAAGGAUCGGCUAACUCCGUGCCAGCAGCCGCGGUAAUACGGAGGAUCCAAGCGUUAUCCGGAUUUAUUGGGUUUAAAGGGUGCGUAGGCGGCUUAUUAAGUCAGGGGUGAAAGACGGUGGCUCAACCAUCGCAGUGCCCUUGAUACUGAUGAGCUUGAAUACACUAGAGGUAGGCGGAAUGUGACAAGUAGCGGUGAAAUGCAUAGAUAUGUCACAGAACACCGAUUGCGAAGGCAGCUUACUAUGGUGUUAUUGACGCUGAGGCACGAAAGCGUGGGGAUCAAACAGGAUUAGAUACCCUGGUAGUCCACGCCCUAAACGAUGAAUACUCGCUGUUAGCGAUACACAGUUAGCGGCUAAGCGAAAGCGUUAAGUAUUCCACCUGGGGAGUACGGUCGCAAGAUUGAAACUCAAAGGAAUUGACGGGGGCCCGCACAAGCGGAGGAGCAUGUGGUUUAAUUCGAUGAUACGCGAGGAACCUUACCCGGGCUUGAAAGUUAGUGAAUCAUUUAGAGAUAGAUGAGUGAGCAAUCACACGAAACUAGGUGCUGCAUGGCUGUCGUCAGCUCGUGCCGUGAGGUGUUGGGUUAAGUCCCGCAACGAGCGCAACCCCUAUGUUUAGUUGCCAGCACGUUAAGGUGGGGACUCUAAACAGACUGCCUGUGCAAACAGAGAGGAAGGAGGGGACGACGUCAAGUCAUCAUGGCCCUUACGUCCGGGGCUACACACGUGCUACAAUGGAUGGUACAGAGGGCAGCAAGCUGGCAACAGCAAGCAAAUCUCAAAAAGCCAUUCACAGUUCGGAUAGAGGUCUGCAACUCGACCUCUUGAAGUUGGAUUCGCUAGUAAUCGCGUAUCAGCAAUGACGCGGUGAAUACGUUCCCGGGCCUUGUACACACCGCCCGUCAAGCCAUGGAAGUUGGGGGUACCUAAAGUAUGUAACCGCAAGGAG
Molecule: ribosomal RNA, 1382 nt
Filed under: Pedobacter sp. TSBY-12
Lineage: Bacteria; Pseudomonadati; Bacteroidota; Sphingobacteriia; Sphingobacteriales; Sphingobacteriaceae
Description: bacterial SSU rRNA
Rfam family: Bacterial small subunit ribosomal RNA
Source: RNAcentral